CUUAAUGUUACUUUUAUUCAAUCAAACGGAGGAGCUUCUAUUCGAGCCUCAAACCACCAACUCAAUGUGUCCUUUUAUUCCAUUUUUUUCGACCCAAAUAAAGUAGAAAUGACCAACCCGAGCCCAACUCGAAUUAUCAACUAGAACUAAUAAUCGACGUUAAACCGAACCGAACUCGGAGCACCAUCAAGAGGUACGUGUACUGCCGCGAUGGAUUUUGGUCGCCGAUUUGAUUUUCUCCAAUGGGAUUGCCUUAACUGGUUUCAGAUGACGGACAACACGAUGAUUUCCCGGUGGAACCACAUCUUGGUCGGCAUAGGGGGUGGUUUACCAACGGAAUAUUGAGCUGGAUGACUCUUUUUUCUCUGUUUCCUUGCUUUUUCCUCUUAUUUUUUCUAUGUGUUUUCUACUGAUUUUAUCCUUGUUUCUUCAUCAUUUCCCCUUUCCCAUGUAGGUAUAUAUUUUGAUGGUGUGUUUAGUGUAUGAAUUUCAAUGGAGGUGGUUGCCUGUGUUGUUGUUGAUCGACCCAAAAAUGGAGUAUGUCCCUACUGCCUAUGCGUGCAGUGUGCGUGCUCUAUUUCUUCAACAAUGUGGAGUGGUAUGCAUAGGUGAUGAAUGGAAAUGUGUGUUCAGAAAGGGUGUGCAUAUAUGGUGGUUCUCGUAAGUGGGAUGGUGCUCGUUAAUGGAAGAUGAACUCGUGUAUAUAUGGUGAGGUUUCCCCCCGAAGAAGAUGAUAAUUAUUCCCUCUCCCGUGUAUUCUGUGGGUGUUCUCUAUAUGUAAGUGUGGUCCCUCCCCC
This 797-nucleotide long non-coding RNA is filed under the name Capsicum annuum. RNAcentral describes it as "long non-coding RNA (CANN_LNC017899)". Lineage: Eukaryota; Viridiplantae; Streptophyta; Magnoliopsida; Solanales; Solanaceae. The record is from RNAcentral.